ACGAACGCUGGCGGCGUGCCUAAUACAUGCAAGUCGAGCGGAAUGAUGAAGAAGCUUGCUUCUUCUGAUUUUAGCGGCAGACGGGUGAGUAACACGUGGGCAACCUACCUUGUAGAUUGGGAUAACUCCGGGAAACCGGGGCUAAUACCGAAUAAUCCAUUUUGCUUCAUGGCGAGAUGUUGAAAGACGGUUUCGGCUGUCACUACAAGAUGGGCCCGCGGCGCAUUAGCUAGUUGGUAGGGUAAUGGCCUACCAAGGCGACGAUGCGUAGCCGACCUGAGAGGGUGAUCGGCCACACUGGGACUGAGACACGGCCCAGACUCCUACGGGAGGCAGCAGUAGGGAAUCUUCCACAAUGGACGAAAGUCUGAUGGAGCAACGCCGCGUGAGUGAAGAAGGUUUUCGGAUCGUAAAACUCUGUUGUAAGGGAAGAACACGUACGAGAGUAACUGCUCGUACCUUGACGGUACCUUAUUAGAAAGCCACGGCUAACUACGUG
RNAcentral lists this ribosomal RNA (499 nucleotides) under uncultured bacterium. Its description in RNAcentral is "bacterial SSU rRNA". It matches the Rfam family "Bacterial small subunit ribosomal RNA", at positions 29 to 507 of the family's 1533-position model. The record is from RNAcentral.